GACGAACGCUGGCGGCGUGCUUAACACAUGCAAGUCGAGCGGUAAGGCCCUUUCGGGGGUACACGAGCGGCGAACGGGUGAGUAACACGUGGGUGACCUGCCCUCAGCUCUGGGAUAAGCCUGGGAAACCGGGUCUAAUACCGGAUAUGACUCCAUGACGCAUGUUGUGGGGUGGAAAGCCUUGUGCGGCUGAGGAUGGGCCCGCGGCCUAUCAGCUUGUUGGUGGGGUGAUGGCCUACCAAGGCGACGACGGGUAGCCGGCCUGAGAGGGCGACCGGCCACACUGGGACUGAGACACGGCCCAGGACUCCUACGGGAGGCAGCAGUGGGGAAUCUUGCGCAAUGGGCGAAAGCCUGACGCAGCGACGCCGCGUGAGGGAUGACGG
Molecule: ribosomal RNA, 386 nt
Filed under: uncultured bacterium
Lineage: Bacteria
Description: bacterial SSU rRNA
Rfam family: Bacterial small subunit ribosomal RNA
Source: RNAcentral